RNAcentral lists this ribosomal RNA (630 nucleotides) under Leptolyngbya sp. WUC1434. RNAcentral's name for it is "bacterial SSU rRNA". It matches the Rfam family "Bacterial small subunit ribosomal RNA", at positions 126 to 789 of the family's 1533-position model. RNAcentral also lists the same sequence under 2 other names. Lineage: Bacteria; Bacillati; Cyanobacteriota; Cyanophyceae; Leptolyngbyales; Leptolyngbyaceae. The record is from RNAcentral.
AUGCCUUUAGAUUGGGGACAACAGUUGGAAACGACUGCUAAUACCGAAUGUGCCUUAGGGUGAAAGAUUUAUUGUCUAGAGAUUGGCUCGCGUCAGAUUAGCUAGUUGGAGUGGUAACGGCACACCAAGGCGACGAUCUGUACUUGGUCUGAGAGGAUGACCAGGCACACUGGAACUGAGACACGGUCCAGACUCCUACGGGAGGCAGCAGUGGGGAAUUUUCCGCAAUGGGCGAAAGCCUGACGGAGCAAUACCGCGUGAGGGAGGACGGCUUUUGGGUUGUAAACCUCUUUUAUCAGGGAAGAAUCGAUGACGGUACCUGAUGAAUCAGCAUCGGCUAACUCCGUGCCAGCAGCCGCGGUAAUACGGAGGAUGCAAGCGUUAUCCGGAAUUAUUGGGCGUAAAGCGUCCGUAGGUGGUUUAUCAAGUCUGCUGUCAAAGCGUGCGGCUUAACCGCAUAAGGGCAGUGGAAACUGAUGAACUAGAGUGCGAUAGGGGUAACAGGAAUUCCCAGUGUAGCGGUGAAAUGCGUAGAUAUUGGGAAGAACACCAGCGGCGAAAGCGUGUUACUGGGUCUGCACUGACACUGAGGGACGAAAGCUAGGGGAGCGAAUGGGAUUAGAUACCCCA